UUCAAAUAUAUCAAGGUUAAACAAUCUAUCUCAGUUUACAUGGAGCAGAAAAUUGAAGAUCAUUUUUUUUUCUUUUACCCUCCAUCUUCUAUAAUAAUUUCACACAGGCUUACCAUGGCACCAUACUAUUUCCCCCCUUCACCAUUGUUAACUAAUUUUCCAAAGUGGAUCCCUGUAACUUGCUAUAAAUCCAAGUCCAAAAACUUUAUCGAUCUCCAGCCUCAUUUACUUUUCAAAAAGCUCCUAGCAGGUUCUUGCCGGAUGGGGGUUUGGGCUUAAUCAAUUGGAACAGAAAAUAGGGAUAUGGUUUCUGUCCUCUAGGGGCUCACAUCUAGGAUCACUAUGAGAAGAUGCAGAAGCUUCAAUAACACAGGAAAGAUAAAGAAAGAAUAAUGCAGGACUGGACUUCACUUUUACAGUGACUGCUUCCUCUGAAUAAUCAUGAGAAGCAGUGAAUAAAAGAAAGGAAUGAAUUCAAGUGGCUUCAUUGGAGAUACAUUUUCAGAUGGCGGCUUAGAGAAAGCUGAAGUUCAGAUCUCCGGAAAACCCUUCCCGACCAAUCUCAAACUAGAAGCUCCUAAGGCGCCGAAAUUCAAAACGAUCAACAGCACAGACCCUGGGAACCCUCCUCCUGGACCUGGACCCGGUCAAAAGGUACGGCUCCCCUUAAUAGCCAGAUCCCGAGAUCCCUCGGACCUCAGGGGUAGGAGCGCAGAGUCCAAGGCUCCCGGAAGCGGCAGCCGCGCCGGGCUCAGAGAGCAGGGUCUGAGGAACAACAACCCUCAGGGUCUUCUACCCAAGUCCCAGUCCGGGUGAAAGUUACUGCCUGGGGCCUCCGCUGCAGAGAGCUGGUCGAAACAACAGCAACCCUCAGGGCAGGCAAGACAGCCUCACGGGCUGGAUCCUGCUAUCCAAGUCUCAGUGAAAGUCUGUGCUCUCGGAGCUUGGGGAAGCGGCAGCCCAUCCCCCCGCAGGCCGACGAAACAGCCUCACAGCCAGGGAUUCUGAAGGCAACUUCUGGAAAUCGAGCCAGGGGGAGAGUGUGGCCUCGUGGUCCGACCCUUCCAUUCCAGUUCCAGUGAGGCAUAUUCAGUUUAACCCAGGGAACGCACAUAGAACCAACAUCUGCCCAGGACUAAAGCCUCUGAUCACCAGACAAAGACAAGAAAAG
This 1171-nucleotide long non-coding RNA is filed under the name Monodelphis domestica (gray short-tailed opossum). RNAcentral's name for it is "lncRNA (ENSMODG00000038361.1)". The record is from RNAcentral. Lineage: Eukaryota; Metazoa; Chordata; Mammalia; Didelphimorphia; Didelphidae.